This 253-nucleotide ribosomal RNA is filed under the name uncultured bacterium. RNAcentral's name for it is "partial 16S ribosomal RNA". It matches the Rfam family "Bacterial small subunit ribosomal RNA", at positions 524 to 776 of the family's 1533-position model. The record is from RNAcentral.
UACGGGGGGGGCAAGCGUUGUUCGGAAUUACUGGGCGUAAAGGGCUCGUAGGCGGCCAACUAAGUCAGACGUGAAAUCCCUCGGCUUAACCGGGGAACUGCGUCUGAUACUGGAUGGCUUGAGUUUGGGAGAGGGAUGCGGAAUUCCCGGUGUAGUGGUGGAAUGCGUAGAUAUCGGGAGGAACACCAGUGGCGAAGGCGGUUGCCUGGGGCUGUGCUGACGCUGAUGCGCGAAAGCGUGGGGAGCGAUCCGG